GCAUGAAGUGAAGAGGAAAGGAAAGAACACAAACCCUAGGUGGGAAAAUUGAAGAAAAAGUGUGGGAUUUCAAGGGAUUAAGCUAAUAAAGGUAAAAUUUUGUGAUUUUAUCUUGUGAUUUACACUACCCAUGCUUUCUUUUUCAUUUUUCAUGCUUAGAACUCAAGUUUGCAUGAUGAACCCAUGCUGGCCGAAUUUGAGAGGAGAGAUUUUGAGCAUUGAUUUUGCUAUAUUUCAGGCUAAUUAAGUGUUUUUGGUUGUUUAGUAAUGGAAAGUAUGAAAAUCUAGCAAGGAAUCACUUUGUUCUUCACAAACCCACAAGAGGCCGAAUUUUCUAGGGAGGAUACUGAGGCUGAAAUUUAUGAUAUUUCAUGAUAUAUUUGUGGUAUUUAAUGAUUGGUGAGGCUAGAAAUUUAAUAAGAAUUUUUGGCAUGAAAAUCUGAAUUUUUACCUAAUGUAUAGACAUGUGCGAUUUAUGGGCCGAAUUGAUAAAUUGAUCAUAUUCACAGUCAUUGAGGUAUUUUAAGUAUAAUUGGAGUGUAGAAAGUGAAAGAAAUCGAUUUGGAGUAAAAUUGGAGGUUUUAGCCAAUUACAUCGAGAAUAGUGCGAAUUAGGUCAAAUACCGUAUUUAAACGGCUAUUCAAACAUUUUGCAUCACAUUUCGUGUAUUCAUAUAGAUUUAUAGAGCCUCAAAUAAUUUAUGAUAAAUUGAUACAAUUUAUUGAAAUUCGUGUCACGUAUGAUGUAUAGGUGGUGAGCCCUCUAACAAGGGUAAAAAGAUUGUGCCCAAAGACCGAGAAUAGGAGUAUAUCAAACUCCUACUACUGUGAGUAACCUUACUAUUGUAUUAAUUAUCUAAAGUGGUUUUUUUUCGAUUUUGU
This 881-nucleotide long non-coding RNA is filed under the name Theobroma cacao (cacao). RNAcentral describes it as "long non-coding RNA (TCAC_LNC001705)". Lineage: Eukaryota; Viridiplantae; Streptophyta; Magnoliopsida; Malvales; Malvaceae. The record is from RNAcentral.